GUGUUCAAAACGUCAUAUCCCACAUCACAGCAGUCAACAAUUGUUAAGUAUUCAUGCCAGCUGAAUGUAGAAGCCAUUGAACCACAGUCUGGUAAAUAAAGAGAUCUUCCUCUGUUUUGAUUUGCUUAUGCACAAGUGUGUAUUUUUCAGUGGCAAUCAGCAGUGUCCUUGGAAAGUUGGGUUGUGCUAUUAAAGCGUCCACAAGCGUCAACAAGUUGUACACAUAUUUUUAAGUUGAAAAAAAAGAUGUUCACAGUUCUCAGUGGGCUCCUAAUUAAAUUUUUUUUUCCAACGUAUAACAAUAUUUAAAAUUAUGUUUAAAAGUUUACCUUUAGGCAAAAAAGUGCAACAAUGGUGCCGUUUUUUCAGCGAAACUGACCGCUAUCCUGUUUUUCUGGGAUAUGUUAUGUGCAAAACCAUGUGCAAAACAAAUUGCCGCCGAAAAAAAAGGACCGUAAAUUGUUGAGCUAAAAGAUCCUUUUUUUUUUGUGGGAUUGUGAACGUGAAUUUCUCCUAUUUCUUACGUAAUACAAGUAUGAAAGUCUAUUGAAUAUGAUUAUAGCUUUUUUGAAGCUCAAAAGUACAUUUUGAGCUCGUUUAUGUUUUGUUGGCACUAAUCGUGUUUGUUGAUGCUUGUUGACGCUUAUUAGCAUGACCGGACUGCUUAGUACUUACUGUACUAAGGAAACCAGGGUUUCGCGUGAAGAUUUUUGGAGAUUCGAUUACCAGAUUCCCGCCCCAUUAUCUCGACUUGUUUGUUCCAGAAUUAUUACAAAACCAGAGAGCACCAUUUUGCGUCUCGCGAAACCUUGCUCAAGACAUUUCACUUUUAGUGAUGAGCCGCAUCUUGUACAGGCUGAUGACCAGGCGCAGAUGCAUCGAAUGUCAGCCUGAACAUGCUGAAGUGCCACCUCCGUGUGCUCCACUUGAAGUGGUAGACCCUCAUCAACACCCUGAAUCCCCCAGAUGCCCCCGCCUUCAAAAAUGCCACCUACUGCCAAGUCUCCAAAGGAUUCUGCAAGCUUCAUCAAGACAAGUGAGACGUCACAAGAUGCCAUCCAAGUCAGCCGUAAAGAUGAAGCUGUCUCGAUAUAAAAUAUACUUGGAUGGAGACGAGGAAGAAAAUGAUUUUUUUUUGUAGGUGUAUUGGGUUUUCUCGAAAGGUGUUUCCCACCCAUGCUCUUCCAAUAUCUCCUCAGUCAGUCUGCAGCAAUUUCAUACCUUACUUGCUUUCUCCUUCAUCAUUUCCAAGUGUUGCGUCUCUCCAUCCACUCCAGCUACACACCAGAAAAGUCUAGGGAAAAAAAUUAAUCUCUGUGUGCAUUUUACGCUUUUAAACAGUGUAGGCCUAGAGCAAUUUCCUCUCACAAUUUUUUGAUGUUUUUAAUACUUGUUUUUCAGUUGAUUAUAAAGAGGACAUCUAUGAUUUCCCACUUUGUAAAAUUCAUUAAAAGUUAUUGUGAAAGCAA
This 1469-nucleotide long non-coding RNA is filed under the name Patiria miniata (bat star). RNAcentral describes it as "uncharacterized LOC119722958". Lineage: Eukaryota; Metazoa; Echinodermata; Asteroidea; Valvatida; Asterinidae. The record is from RNAcentral.